Molecule: long non-coding RNA, 3600 nt
Organism: Gasterosteus aculeatus (three-spined stickleback)
Lineage: Eukaryota; Metazoa; Chordata; Actinopteri; Perciformes; Gasterosteidae
Source: Ensembl
AUGCUGUCUGCGUCGGACACCGGAGCAGAAUCAGAGCUCUCGGAGCCCAGAGACGAAUCCACUGAGCCUUCAUCAAACGUCUGCGAAUGCCUCGCUCAGGAGAGAAGCACCGAAUCGGACCGUUUGAAGCCUUCAUCGUCAUCCAGCUGUUGGUCCAUGUGUUCCCAGCCUGCACCAAAGGACGAUGAUUUCAGGGUGUGCCGGUGUUUCGGCUCAUCGGAACCUGCGUUCCCUCGUUUACCUCACUUCUCUCGUGACCUUAUUUCAGCUGUAUCUGAGUCUUUUUCCGAGUUACGCCAUAAUCGAAACACAGCGGCCUCCUCUUCUCUCACACAAGGAGGUGUUACACCUCAACCUUUUGGGGCCAUGUCAUCUGCUUCGCAGGGUUUGAUGGAGCCAUUUGUCACUGAGCCUCUUUCCAGCUCUGAACACAGUCCAGAACCGUAUCUAUUGAGUUCGUUUUCACCUCAGUCCGACAGCUUGGAGCGUCAUUCAGCUACAGCGCCUCUUCCAGAACUUUACAUCUCUGAAAGUGAGACGCAGGACUUCAUCCUGAGCCCUCACCAAGAUCCCCGGGAAUUUCAAUGGCCCGAAUACCACCAGUGGGAAGCGGGGGGGCGAAACGCCGACUGCCAUACACAUCAUUUCCCGAUGCGCGAUUCAGACAACGAGGUGACGCGAUGUCGUCUCGGCUCCAGAGAGGAACGAGCCACGCUGGACUGUGAGUCAGACGCGAGAGCACCUGCUGCGGCAGCCUGUGCGGAAGCCUUGGUGCCGGUAAAUGACGAGAGGCCAGGGAAUGCACAGACCACUGACUUGACCCCCCAACCACAGCAAAGCCCCAGCCCCGUCGAGCUGUGGCUGGAUGCAUGCCAGUAUCUGGCAGGUGAGGAUACGGAGGACCUGAACGUUUUGGACAAGGCGAGGUAUUCCGUGAUCCAAGGAGGCCUCGCCAGGGACUCGUCUUUCCCCCCGGGGGACACAAAGGUGUCAGGUUACAACCUUGACGAUAGCGAGGGGAUUGGCUGGUCCAGCGAUGACACCAUAUGUUGGGGGCCACCGGUUGAGAGGUGGUCAUCCGUGGACAGCUGGGCCAGCGCACUCUCAGACUGGAGUGGGAUUAUCGCGGCUCCGCCGGAGGACUUCGCGGCUGCCUUCACAGAGAUAGGGGCAGAGAUAGAUGCUCUGACACAGGCGCUAGCUGAGGUAAACACUCAUUUAGAAACAGACCCCCCCAAAGAAGACAAGGGUCAAGGGCCAGCAGUCAGGGCGCAAUCACAGCCACCCAUGGGCCUCCAGGAUCAGCAUUUAGAGGCGCAAAACCCGACCGAGAGCUCCAUCCUCUCUGGGCAGAGCUGUCGCUCCUCGUGCCCGGAGGCUGCAGGACCCGAGCUCGGAGACAGAGAGAGAUGUCAGAGCGUCGAAUCGUUGUGCGAUUCGACAGCCGGCGCCCAGGACGAAAAGGAGGCGGAAGAAAUCCAGAACAUCCGGGUUGAGCGCUCGGCGCACCGGCACUCUUCCGCCGGGUCAUCCUGGGAGACCGUGGCCGCUCCCGGAGGAGGCGGCGCAGAGGUGAUCCCUGGAUCCACUCCUUCCGCUGAUCUGAACCCUCCUCGAUUUGGCGAGCCAGACCGUUUCUUCAACAACAAAGUAGUUUCCAUCCUACUGAAUAUAGUAGAAGAUACCGAUUUGGAGGGACGAGAUACACCUGGAGAUCUGAUGAUUGAGAAGCCCUUUGGAGAUGAAGUGUGUGAAGUGACAGACAAACACAGUGUCUCCCAGCCGCGCUGGUCGACUGAGCGGGAAGUCGAAAGGAGCCGCGGGCCAGCUGAGGUUGAUCGGGAAGGAACUCUUCGUUUUCACGCCACGCGCGCUUCGGCAAACUCACACGUGCCAGGUGAGCACGCGGGAGCUGGCUCGCGUACCAAUGUUGGCACACGCGCGCCGCCUGACACUUUACCAGACCUUGACGAAGGGCGUCAGGUGGAGCCACGAUGGGCAAGUCCUAAGUUCAUAAUGCCCUUAGCCCCGCUCGGUAUCUCGGCCCUGGCACCCCACGUCUGUCGGACAAGCAGAAGUUUGGAAGGAGAUCAAACUGGUGCAAAAAGGUCCCUCAAUGACAACAGGGACCCCAGUUGUGACCGCACACAGGCCUGCGCUCACAGGCCGACCUCGGAGGGGAUCGCUGAUAUAAAAUCUUCGAAUGGUGAUGAGUUGAGUCAUGAAAAGGGAACUAAAAUAAAGUAUACUGAGAAGUCUUCAAAAAAGGGACAAGUGGACUUGAUCCCGAGAAGUAAAACAACAACUGAGGAGAUCCACGAGCUCAGCGGAAGACUCUCAGACCUGGCUGAUGCCCCAGCAGAUCAGUUCUUUGUCUCACAGAAGAAGCGCGUUGCAUUCAUCACUUUAGAUUUGAAUGACCCAUUUGUCUCCAGGGCUGCAAAACCCAUCGCCAAAGGCACACAGUCCGACUUGAAUCAGACGAAAGCUGAGAAGAUGCCACGCAAAACACACAAAACUACCUCGGAGAGCAAAGCACGCUCUAAAAAGGACAAAACAGCUGGUCAUUAUCACGGAACACAAGCUUGCAAGAAACAGGAGGCUUUAUCUCAUCAUGUUUCCGCCCAGCAGGUCUGUAAACAGCAAGAAACUCAUCCUCUCACCGGGGAAAACCACACUGGCGAGAAUAAUCAAGUCGGGCUGCUGGAUAAGGAGGCCAAAUUGGUGAUUGACGCUGGUGCGACAACUGAGAAGGCUCCGAGCAAACCACAUGGCAAGAAGAAGAAGAAAAACACCGGGCUGAAUGGUGUCGGGGAGCCACUGGUGGAGGUGGAGAACGGAGCGAAACCAAAGACAGCGAAAGGGAGGAUUGAAAUGUUUGAGGCCAAGCUGGGUGCGAAAGCUGUGAAAGCUCCAAAGGACGGCGAUCACUCAGAGGAGAAAAUGUCACAGCAACCAGAAGCCAAAGCUAGAGCUUCCCAGGGAGAAAAACCUCAACAUCACGCAGAUCACAAAGACCACCAGCCGAAGAAAUUCACCAGUCCGCCGAACGACGAUAUUAUCAAAAGACGACGGCUGUCAGAAGACAAGUUUGGGAAAUUAUCCAAGCCGGACGUUUCUACACAGACAAAGGGAGAGGAGCCCAAGGUGAACACAGGGGCAACUCGCAGGAAGGCGUUUGGUGACGUGGUCAAACCGAAAAUCCCCCCAAAGGAAGACCCCAAGGUGGUGCAGCCCAUUCAGACGGCUCCGGUGAGCGGGGACCCCCGGAGCCUGUGCCUGUGGUGUCAGCUUACGGCCGCCUCCUACCAAUGCACCGUCACCUGGAGCAGGGGGGGCGCUGUCCUGUCUGAGAGCAAGAGAAGUGCAGGGGAUGACAGCAGAGUGUCGCUGACCAUCUCCAAUGCUUCUCACAAAGACUUGGGCAAGUACCAGUGUCAGCUCACCAGUUCACACGGAUCGGUGACCCUGGACUACCUGCUCACAUACGAAGUUCUCUGUGAGAUUGUUGUUCCUCCCUCUCCGAACACAAUCGUAUCAGCCCCCCGUAGAAGACGGGAGCGAAGAAGAAGACGUUCACUGUUCCAAGUUGAUUUUUAG